RNAcentral lists this ribosomal RNA (1533 nucleotides) under Clostridioides difficile. RNAcentral's name for it is "16S ribosomal RNA". It matches the Rfam family "Bacterial small subunit ribosomal RNA". The record is from RNAcentral. Lineage: Bacteria; Bacillati; Bacillota; Clostridia; Peptostreptococcales; Peptostreptococcaceae.
UUAUUUGAGAGUUUGAUCCUGGCUCAGGAUGAACGCUGGCGGCGUGCCUAACACAUGCAAGUUGAGCGAUUUACUUCGGUAAAGAGCGGCGGACGGGUGAGUAACGCGUGGGUAACCUACCCUGUACACACGGAUAACAUACCGAAAGGUAUGCUAAUACGGGAUAACAUAUUUGAGAGGCAUCUCUUGAAUAUCAAAGGUGAGCCAGUACAGGAUGGACCCGCGUCUGAUUAGCUAGUUGGUAAGGUAACGGCUUACCAAGGCAACGAUACGUAGCCGACCUGAGAGGGUGAUCGGCCACACUGGAACUGAGACACGGUCCAGACUCCUACGGGAGGCAGCAGUAGGGAAUCUUCCGCAAUGGGCGAAAGCCUGACGGAGCAACGCCGCGUGAGUGAUGAAGGUCUUCGGAUCGUAAAACUCUGUUAUCAGGGAAGAACAAAUGUGUAAGUAACUGUGCACAUCUUGACGGUACCUGAUCAGAAAGCCACGGCUAACUACGUGCCAGCAGCCGCGGUAAUACGUAGGUGGCAAGCGUUAUCCGGAAUUAUUGGGCGUAAAGCGCGCGUAGGCGGUUUUUUAAGUCUGAUGUGAAAGCCCACGGCUCAACCGUGGAGGGUCAUUGGAAACUGGAAAACUUGAGUGCAGAAGAGGAAAGUGGAAUUCCAUGUGUAGCGGUGAAAUGCGCAGAGAUAUGGAGGAACACCAGUGGCGAAGGCGACUUUCUGGUCUGUAACUGACGCUGAUGUGCGAAAGCGUGGGGAUCAAACAGGAUUAGAUACCCUGGUAGUCCACGCCGUAAACGAUGAGUGCUAAGUGUUAGGGGGUUUCCGCCCCUUAGUGCUGCAGCUAACGCAUUAAGCACUCCGCCUGGGGAGUACGACCGCAAGGUUGAAACUCAAAGGAAUUGACGGGGACCCGCACAAGCGGUGGAGCAUGUGGUUUAAUUCGAAGCAACGCGAAGAACCUUACCAAAUCUUGACAUCCUUUGACCGCUCUAGAGAUAGAGUCUUCCCCUUCGGGGGACAAAGUGACAGGUGGUGCAUGGUUGUCGUCAGCUCGUGUCGUGAGAUGUUGGGUUAAGUCCCGCAACGAGCGCAACCCUUAAGCUUAGUUGCCAUCAUUAAGUUGGGCACUCUAAGUUGACUGCCGGUGACAAACCGGAGGAAGGUGGGGAUGACGUCAAAUCAUCAUGCCCCUUAUGAUUUGGGCUACACACGUGCUACAAUGGACAAUACAAAGGGCAGCUAAACCGCGAGGUCAAGCAAAUCCCAUAAAGUUGUUCUCAGUUCGGAUUGUAGUCUGCAACUCGACUACAUGAAGCUGGAAUCGCUAGUAAUCGUAGAUCAGCAUGCUACGGUGAAUACGUUCCCGGGUCUUGUACACACCGCCCGUCACACCACGAGAGUUUGUAACACCCGAAGCCGGUGGAGUAACCAUUUAUGGAGCUAGCCGUCGAAGGUGGGACAAAUGAUUGGGGUGAAGUCGUAACAAGGUAGCCGUAUCGGAAGGUGCGGCUGGAUCACCUCCUUU